CUACCGGGUCGCUCCAGUGAGGAAUAUUGCACAAUGGGGGGAACCCUGAUGCAGCAACGCCGCGUGGAGGAUGACGCAUUUCGGUGUGUAAACUCCUUUUAUAUGUCAAGAAAAUGACGGUAGCAUAUGAAUAAGCACCGGCUAACUCCGUGCCAGCAGCCGCGGUAAUACGGAGGGUGCAAGCGUUACUCGGAAUCACUGGGCGUAAAGGACGCGUAGGCGGGUUGGAAAGUCAGGUGUGAAAUCCUACAGCUUAACUGUAGAACUGCACUUGAAACUUCUAAUCUAGAGUAUGGGAGGGGGAGAUGGAAUUAGUGGUGUAGGGGUAAAAUCCGUAGAUAUCACUAGGAAUACCUAAAGCGAAGGCGAUCUCCUGGAACAUUACUGACGCUAAGGCGUGAAAGCGUGGGGAGCAAACAGGAUUAGAUACCCCUGUAGUC
This 440-nucleotide ribosomal RNA is filed under the name uncultured bacterium. Its description in RNAcentral is "partial 16S ribosomal RNA". It matches the Rfam family "Bacterial small subunit ribosomal RNA", at positions 338 to 795 of the family's 1533-position model. The record is from RNAcentral.